AUACCAAGGGGGCUAGCGUUGUACGGAAUUACUGGGCGUAAAGCGCGCGUAGGCGGAUUGGUCAGUUAGGGGUGAAAUCCCAGGGCUUAACCCUGGAACUGCCUCUAAUACUGCCAGUCUUGAGUUCGGGAGAGGUGAGUGGAAUUCCUAGUGUAGAGGUGAAAUUCGUAGAUAUUAGGAAGAACACCAGUGGCGAAGGCGGCUCACUGGCCCGAUACUGACGCUGAGGCGCGAAAGCGUGGGGAGCAAACAGGAUUAGAUACCCUUGUAGUCC
RNAcentral lists this ribosomal RNA (274 nucleotides) under uncultured bacterium. RNAcentral's name for it is "partial 16S ribosomal RNA". It matches the Rfam family "Bacterial small subunit ribosomal RNA", at positions 523 to 796 of the family's 1533-position model. The record is from RNAcentral.